Molecule: long non-coding RNA, 1495 nt
Filed under: Felis catus (domestic cat)
Lineage: Eukaryota; Metazoa; Chordata; Mammalia; Carnivora; Felidae
Description: lncRNA (ENSFCAG00000048392.1)
Source: RNAcentral
CUGCCAUGUGAGUGUUUACUCUGCGUUCACAUUUCCCUCCACUAAGAUACUAGCUGUGGCUGCAUAGACACUGGUCACCGUCUGACUCUCACGAAUCUAUCACCAGUGGCCAUUUUUCCUUUUUACUUAACCUUAGUUAGCAUACAGUGUCGUAUUGGUUUCAGGAGUACGAUUGUGCUAGUGGCCAUUUAAACCCUCUCUUUGCAAAGCCACUGGCAGGGUUACACCUUCGGGACCUUCCUCCUCGUCCUGUAGGUAGAAGCCGGUGGAGGCCAGGAGAGGACAGUGGCCCGUCCAAGGUGGCACAGCCCCGGAACGCGGCACAGGGCGACUCACUCUUCAGGGCCGAUCGGGCUGCCUGCUGGCCAAGUUCACGUGGGUCGGGUCUGUGUCUGCUGUGACUGCAGCGGCCAGGCCGAGGCGUGCCGGCCACGGGGGAGUGUGUCUUUGUGUGGAAGCCACGGUCCAGAAGACACGACAACAGGACGGUAACGGUGACUCCUGACGACGGCCUGGUCUCUGGCGGGUCUUUGGGCCAUUAGUACGGAAGCCCGAGGUGUGCACCAGGAGGGCCAGCUCCGUGGCCGUGGCCGUGGCCGGGCACUACCUUGUUCUGGGAAUGAGCGGGGAAAGAUCCGCGUGCCUCCCCUUCGCCAGGUAAAGGUGGGCUCUUCGCAACACGGACACGUCGUCGGGAAAAGAUACGUUGCCAUGUGUGCCACGGCCGCAACGGCCGGAGUUCCGGGAUGGAUUCCUGGCGGGCUGGGUUACAAGAUGGCGGGUGGCGGGCACCCUUGGGAAGUCAGACGGCGAGACCCCCGGCGCUCUCGUGCACCCUGGGCAUCAGGAGCCCGGACGUCCGGAGAGGACUCGUCUGCCCAGGACAGCGGCGGGUCCCGCCCCGUCCGCAGACAGGCGCUGUGCGACAGCUCCCACAGAAGCUCCGAGCGCCGUCACCAUGGGUUCUUCUGCAGGAACCUCAGGUUUCCAGGGGGUAAAACAAGGAAGCACAGAUCUGGAAAGCUCCCACGCAUCACACGGGCCCCAAGGAAGAUGCUGGACCGGACACAUGUUGCUGCAGCCGCUGAGUGUGCAGGACGGGCCUCUGCCUUCUCCCGUCUCAGCACCCCGCGGCUGCAGGGCCUCGAGCCCUUGUCCACCAGACAGGAGCACGGGUGCUCAGAAAAACCACCUGGCCAUCCCCCUAGGGGCCACGUUCCGAGCAGUGUCCCCGAAAGAAGUGUCCCUGCGGUCCUGGCGGCACCCGGGGGUGCAGAGGAGGACAAGUACUGUUUGCUGCACGAGCGGGGUGUCCUAGCCCCGCUGGAGGGUGCGGAGGGAGCCGUGAGGCCGCCGCCGGCCUGUGCCGGGAGCUGGCGGGCACUGGCAGCGGUUGUGGCCUCCCCUGCGGGCUCCCCUUCCCGCCUCCCGAGUCCGCACGAGAUGCCGGAGGGGCCGCGGCUUCUGGGCAGGGCAAGACGUGGACCCAGGGCAG